Molecule: ribosomal RNA, 872 nt
Filed under: Rugosomyces carneus
Lineage: Eukaryota; Fungi; Basidiomycota; Agaricomycetes; Agaricales; Tricholomataceae
Description: partial large subunit ribosomal RNA
Rfam family: Eukaryotic large subunit ribosomal RNA
Source: RNAcentral
UCCCCUAGUAACUGCGAGUGAAGCGGGAAAAGCUCAAAUUUAAAAUCUGGCGGUCUUUUGGCUGUCCGAGUUGUAAUCUAGAGAAGCAUUAUCCGCGCUGGACCGUGUACAAGUCUCCUGGAACGGAGCGUCAUAGAGGGUGAGAAUCCCGUCUUUGACACGGACUACCAGGGCUUUGUGAUGUGCUCUCAAAGAGUCGAGUUGUUUGGGAAUGCAGCUCUAAAUGGGUGGUAAAUUCCAUCUAAAGCUAAAUAUUGGCGAGAGACCGAUAGCGAACAAGUACCGUGAGGGAAAGAUGAAAAGAACUUUGGAAAGAGAGUUAAACAGUACGUGAAAUUGUUGAAAGGGAAACGCUUGAAGUCAGUCGCGUCUAUUGGAGAUCAGCCUUGCUCUUUUGCUUGGUGUAUUUUCUGAUAAACGGGUCAGCAUCAAUUUCGACUAAUGGAAAAAGGUCGAGGGAAUGUGGCAUCUUCGGAUGUGUUAUAGCCUUCGGCUGUAUACAUUAGUUGGGAUUGAGGAAUUCAGCACGCCGCAAGGCCGGGUCUUUUGACUACGUUCGUGCUUAGGAUGCUGGCAUAAUGGCUUUAAUCGACCCGUCUUGAAACACGGACCAAGGAGUCUAACAUGCCUGCGAGUGUUUGGGUGGAAAACCCAUACGCGUAAUGAAAGUGAAAGUUGAGAUCCCUGUCGUGGGGAGCAUCGACGCCCGGACCAGACCUUUUGUGACGGAUCCGCGGUAGAGCAUGUAUGUUGGGACCCGAAAGAUGGUGAACUAUGCCUGAAUAGGGUGAAGCCAGAGGAAACUCUGGUGGAGGCUCGUAGCGAUUCUGACGUGCAAAUCGAUCGUCAAAUUUGGGUAUAGGGGCGAAAGA